Molecule: ribosomal RNA, 950 nt
Filed under: Amphibalanus sp. Bcl4216PM937
Lineage: Eukaryota; Metazoa; Arthropoda; Thecostraca; Balanomorpha; Balanidae
Description: SSU rRNA
Rfam family: Eukaryotic small subunit ribosomal RNA
Source: RNAcentral
GGGAGGUAGUGACAAUAAAUACCUUACAGAGGUCUCGUUAACCGAGAUCUCUCAAACGGAAUGAGUACAACGUGAAUCCUUUAACGAGGAUCGACUGGAGGGCAAGCCUGGUGCCAGCAGCCGCGGUAAUUCCAGCUCCAGUAGCGUAUAUUAAAGCUGUUGCGGUUAAAAAGCUCGUAGUUGGAUAUCAGUGCGUGUCCGGUCCGGUAUGCCUGGCGGCGGCGCUCGCGCGUCACUGCUGGGCUCCCAAAUAUCGGCUGGCCGCAUUCAAUCGUGCCGGAUCCGUCGCCGGGCCGUUCUUCGGAGGGGCCUGGUGGCGACCGGCGACGUUACCUUGAACAAAUUAGAGUGCUCAAAGCAGGCUCUGAAUGCCUGUAUACAUAUUCAUGGAAUUGGAGAAUACGUCCCUGGCUCGAUUUGGUUGGUUUUGAGAGUCGAAGGGAAAUGAUUAAUAGGGACUGACGGAGGCAUUCGUAUUGCGACGCGAGGGGUGAAAUCCUGUGACCGUCGCACGACGAACUACUGCGAAAGCAUUUGCCGAGAAUGUUUUCAUUAGUCAAGAACGAAAGUUAGAGGUUCGAAGGCGAUCAGAUACCGCCCUAGUUCUAACCGUAAACGAUGUCGACCAGCAAUCCGCAACGGUCACUACACGGACUGUGCGGGCAGCUUCCCCGGGGAAACCAGAGUUUUUGGACUCCGGGGGAAGUAUGGUUGCAAAGCUGAAACUUAAAGGAAUUGACGGAAGGGCACCACCAGGAGUGGAGCUUGCGGCUUAAUUUGACUCAACACGGGACAACUCACCAGGCCCGGACACCGUAAGGAUUGACAGACUGAUAGCUCUCUCUUGAUUCAGUGGGUGGUGGUGCAUGGCCGUUCUUAGUUGGUGGAGUGAUUUGUCUGGUUUAUUCCGAUAACGAACGAGACUCUGGCCUAUUAAACUUGACACUGUC